AGUCACCUCCCUCGCUGUCCUCUCCAAGCUGUGCCCCUGGUCCCCGAGCUCCUUUAAGGAUCGCUGGUACCCGACGCAGCUCUCGCGUCUAAACGGCACGGCGGGCGCUCCACAGUUGGCACCCCCGUGGCCUCGGGAGCUCAGGAGGAGCUGCUGCCCAAACAGGAGGAGCCCUCGCCAAACCUGGGGGUCAGAAAGGGAACUCACAUUUAUAGUUCCGGCUGCGAGCCAGGCCUGCUGGCCACUUACUGAGCAGUGUUUUAUUUAAGCCUCACCACAGUCCCAGAUUGGAAUUGCUGUCUUCGGUGAAGACUAGGGCACCGGCGCUGGGAGGUGAAGUCACUUGCCUGCGAUGCCUCACCCAGUCCCUAGCUGAGCGGGUUUAAACCCAGGUCUUCAGGAUUCCGAGUCCUGCAGGCUUUCCGCUCAGAGCCCGGAGCCCGGCCACCGGUUCUACCACUUGAGUCUCCCAUGCGCAAGGCACUAGACCUUUCUGAGCCCCAGUUCCCUCGCCUGUAUCAUUAAAACGUACUGCCACCUGAGCAUGUGUGAAGAUUUAGCAAAUACCAGAACACACCGUGCAAACUGUAAAGUACAGUUCACAUACCAUUGGGUGCAGUUUAUGUCCCAGGCGUUGGAUGUUGGCCAGUGCCCAUAGGAAUAGGGGCCAGCCUGUCCUCCAGCCCUGGCGUUGCAGGAGGCAGAGGGUCAGGUAAUAAUUACAAGGAGGAGGGCGGGAGCAUAACCCUGCCUGGUGAGGCUCGCAUUUUCCUGGAAGGACGGGUUGGUCUCUCAGCUGAGGGCCCAGGACACAGUAGAGCCUGCAGAGAGCAGGGCCCCUGGGCGGGGAGGCAGGUAGGUUAGGGAUUAGAGGGGAGACUGGAGGGUGUGUGGCACCAAAUAUCCUACCAAGGCCGUUGGGCAUUAUCCUAGAGGCGGUAGCCACGGGGUAUUCUGAGCAAGAUGAUCUGAUGUGCUCAAAAAGACCCCGGGGGCAGCAACCUGGAGGAGAGGGAGGUGGGCCACGGGAGCUGCGAGCGGCUGUGGCAGUAUGCGCGGUGAGGGGGCCUUGGGAGCAGGGACAGAGAAGAGGGGGCCGACUCGCAAAAAUAGGAGGAAAAAAUCGACUCCAAAGUCUGUGAUCUUAACCACAGAUUUACCCUACUUAGCCAUCUCCUUCAAAAAAUGCAGGAUGAACCCUUUUGUUGUAAUCCCUACGUCAGGAGAGCCCUGCCCCGAAGUCGUCCUGCCUCGCCCUGGCUGAGCUCUGGGGGCACUGAGACCUCGCCUGCUCUGCUGCUGUUGUGGUCUUUGUGAGUCGUUUUUCUGGGAAUGCCUCUGAAUGGGAGACAGCACGCACGAAAUCCAAUCUCUACGAAAUCCAAUUCCUUAAUCUCCUUUGAGGCUAAUGCCCUAGCCGUUUCUCCAGCGUUGGGAGAAGGACACUGUUGGCUCCACGGUGGGCGUGGAUGACGGCACACCUCGAAAGGCUUGAGAGGUGUUGGCCACCGCUCGCGCCGGGCCUGCUGUCCCCAGAGGGCCCUCUAGCUCUGCCCUUCCGUGGGAGGGGGCCCGCGGUCGGGCCAGAGCACAACUGACCUCUGCCUAGAACUUCCUCCAGAGGCUCUGAAGCCUCCCACACCCUCACAUUUCCGAAGAAUUAUGGCCAGGACUCUCAGCACAAGCUUGCCAGCUUCUCAUACCAUAUACACUCAAAGAAAGGGCCCCCCAAAAAAGUUUCAAUACGCUAGUCUUCUAAAGACAGUAGCUUGAUGACUAUAGGAUUUGCAGCCAGCUUCUCUUUCUUUCAGGUAAUAAGUCAGAUAAAAUUCAUCCUCCUUACUACUUAUUAUUAGCCUGGCAAAUGAGACUACUAGCCCUUUGUAAGGAAGUAUUCAAUCAAUGCUUUCUCUUUUUUUUUCUUUUUUCUUCCUUUUUUUUUUUAAGAGAUGGGGUCUUGCUAUGUUGCCCAGACUGAAGUCAAACUUCCUGGGCUUAAGCCAUCUUCCCACCUCAGCCUCCCAAGUAGCUGGGACUACAGGCAUGCACCACCCAGCCCAGCCAAUAAUGCCUUCUUUGUUUUCCAGUAUUCAGUGAGUUACAGGUAUAAAGAGAUAUCUGAUUGCAUAAUAGAUGUUUUUUAAAGUCACUCAAAAAAAAAAAGAAAAGAAAAGAAAAAGAAAAAGUGGUCCAGGCGUGGUGGCUCACGCCUGUAAUCCCAGCAUUUUGGGAGGCCAAGGUGGGCAGAUAGCUUGAGCUCAGGAGUUGGAGAUCAGCCUGGGCAACAUGGCAAAAUCCUGUCUCUACC
This 2308-nucleotide long non-coding RNA is filed under the name Homo sapiens (human). Its description in RNAcentral is "non-protein coding lnc-PPP4R1-21:2". Lineage: Eukaryota; Metazoa; Chordata; Mammalia; Primates; Hominidae. The record is from RNAcentral.